Molecule: non-coding RNA, 117 nt
Filed under: Gorilla gorilla gorilla (western lowland gorilla)
Lineage: Eukaryota; Metazoa; Chordata; Mammalia; Primates; Hominidae
Source: Rfam by way of RNAcentral
GCUGGGCAUGGUGGCUCAUGCCUGUAAUCCCAGCUACUCCGGAGGCUGAGGUGGGAGGAUCGCUUGAGCCCAAGAAUUAGAGACCAGCCUGGGCAACAUAGCAAGAUCCCAUCUCAA